RNAcentral lists this ribosomal RNA (268 nucleotides) under uncultured bacterium. RNAcentral describes it as "partial 16S ribosomal RNA". It matches the Rfam family "Bacterial small subunit ribosomal RNA", at positions 85 to 354 of the family's 1533-position model. The record is from RNAcentral.
AAGCGUCUUAGUGGCGGACGGGUGAGUAACGCGUGGGUAACCUGCCUUACACUGGGGGAUAACACUUAGAAAUAGGUGCUAAUACCGCAUAACAGGGAAAGAUGCAUGUCUUUUCCUUAAAAACUCCGGUGGUGUAAGAUGGACCCGCGUCUGAUUAGCUAGUUGGCGGGGUAACGGCCCACCAAGGCGACGAUCAGUAGCCGGCCUGAGAGGGUGAACGGCCACAUUGGGACUGAGACACGGCCCAAACUCCUACGGGAGGCAGCAG